This 392-nucleotide ribosomal RNA is filed under the name rhizosphere bacterium GWR09. RNAcentral describes it as "bacterial SSU rRNA". It matches the Rfam family "Bacterial small subunit ribosomal RNA", at positions 1077 to 1476 of the family's 1533-position model. The record is from RNAcentral.
GGGUUAAGUCCCGCAACGAGCGCAACCCCUAUCUUUAGUUGCCAUCAGGUAAAGCUGGGAACUCUAAAGAAACUGCCGUCGUAAGACGCGAGGAAGGAGGGGAUGAUGUCAAGUCANCAUGGCCUUUAUGCCCAGGGCUACACACGUGCUACAAUGGGGGGUACAAAGGGCUGCCACCUGGUGACAGGGAGCUAAUCCCAAAAAACCUCUCUCAGUUCAGAUUGCAGGCUGCAACUCGCCUGCAUGAAGCUGGAAUCGCUAGUAAUCGUAUAUCAGCAAUGAUACGGUGAAUACGUUCCCGGACCUUGCACACACCGCCCGUCAAGCCAUGGGAGCCGGGUGUACCUAAAGUCGGUAACCGCAAGGAGCUGCCUAGGGUAAAAUCGGUGACU